This is a non-coding RNA of Callithrix jacchus (white-tufted-ear marmoset), 907 nucleotides long. The record is from RefSeq and is a predicted model, not a curated record. NCBI's taxonomy places the organism in Eukaryota, Metazoa, Chordata, Mammalia, Primates, Cebidae.
CACGGCCCUCAUCGUCACUAGUACUCAGCCGCUUGGGACACUGGCUGAAUGUUCGCCCCUAACUUACCCAGAAAACACAAGAACUAGUUCGAUGUCGUUUCAAGCUCACCAAACUCUGCGGGAAGUUACGAAACUGUCUCUAGUGUCUAGAUAGGGGAACUGUUACACGGACGUGAAGUCUCACCUCCUAUUGUGUAUCUCCAGGAAGCAAGACAUGGAGUCCAAAACCAGUAUCCUAUAAAGUAUUCAGAGAGGGAUCCCCUCCAGGCUGGGGAGAAACAGGACAGCCUAACAAACAGGGCCUGGACUCUUCCCCAAACAAAACACGUUUUUCUCCACUUUUCCCCUUCCUACUCCCUGAAAUCUAGACACUCUUUUUAAGAGAAACUGAGAGGUAUGAAGAACGUCUAGAGCCUAAAGCGGCCCGUUGCCAGAUUCUACUCCUCAGGCCUUAAAUGCGGGCUAGGCCCCCGAUCACGUGAUCCCGCUCCCAACUCCCGGCGGAAGAGGCCGGCGAAAGCGCUGCAAGAAGCGAGUAGGCGGACGCUUGUGCCCGGCUGAAAGAUGGCGGCUGCCGCUAGGCAGCCACCGCCUGGGAGGUUACUAUGAGGCCCGCAGCUCCCGCCGGCUCCCGCGGACCGCUGCCGCCUCCUUACCAUGAAGCCAGUGAGUCGUCGCACGCUGGACUGGAUUUACUCAGUGUUGCUGCUUGCCAUCGUUUUAAUCUCCUGGGGCUACGUCAUCUAUGCAUCAACGGUGGCUGCAAGACGACAGCUAAGGAAGAAAUACCCAGAUAAUUUUUGGGACGAAUGAAAAUUUGUAACUCCUCUGGAUUUAAUUCUCUGCAAAUACAUUUCUUUCCCUCAUGCUUAUGUAGAUUUAAAAAUAAAAUUAAUAAUGCAAAGCU